AGCGAACGCUGGCGGCAGGCCUAACACAUGCAAGUCGAACGAACCCUCCGUGGUUAGUGGCGGUUGGGUGAGUAACACGGGGGAACGUGCCUUUAUGCUCCGGAUAACUCAGUGUCACUUGUGCUAAUACCGAAUGAGCUCUGCUAGUGCAGGAUUAAUCGGCUUUAGAGCGGCCGGCGUCCGUCUAGCCAGGUGAGUUUGGUAAUGGCGCACCAGGGCGACCUACAGUACCUGGUCUGAGAGGAUGAGGAGACACAUUGGUACUUGGACGCGGCCGAUACUCCUACGCGAGGCAGCAGUGGCGGAUCCUGCGCAAUGGGCGAAGGCAUGACGCAGCCAUGCCGCGUGAAUGCUGAAGGUCUUAGGGAUGUACAGUUCUUUCACAGGCGACGAUAAUGACGGUACCCGGAGAAGAAGCCCCGGCUAACUUCGUG
Molecule: ribosomal RNA, 434 nt
Filed under: uncultured bacterium
Lineage: Bacteria
Description: partial 16S ribosomal RNA
Rfam family: Bacterial small subunit ribosomal RNA
Source: RNAcentral